CCUACGGGUGGCAGCAGUCGAGAAUCAUUCACAAUGGGGGAAACCCUGAUGGUGCGACGCCGCGUGGGGGAAUGAAGGUCUUCGGAUUGUAAACCCCUGUCAUGUGGGAGCAAAUUAAAAAGAUAGUACCACAAGAGGAAGAGACGGCUAACUCGGUGCCAGCAGCCGCGGUAAUACAGAGGUCUCAAGCGUUGUGCGGAAUCACUGGGCGUAAAGCGUGCGGAGGCUGUUUCGUAAGUCGUGUGUGAAAGGCGCGGGCUCAACCCUCGGACGGCACAUGAUACUGCGAGACUAGAGUACUGGAGGGGGGACCGGAAUUCUCGGUGUAGCAGUGAAAUGCGUAGAUAUCGAGAGGAACACUCGUGGCGAAGGCGGGUUCCUGGACAUUAACUGACGCUGAGGCACGAAGGCCAGGGGAGCGAAAGGGAUUAGAUACCCCGGUAGUC
RNAcentral lists this ribosomal RNA (446 nucleotides) under uncultured bacterium. Its description in RNAcentral is "partial 16S ribosomal RNA". It matches the Rfam family "Bacterial small subunit ribosomal RNA", at positions 338 to 795 of the family's 1533-position model. The record is from RNAcentral.